CCCUCACCCCGCCACCCGCGCCCCGUAGGAGUGGGAGAGAGCCAGUUCCCGUGCUGUGGCGAGUGGAGGGCAUUGUUGCACACGAUGCAGAGGCCCCUGACACAGGCUGGGGGGCCACCAGUGAGGACAGGUGAGGUUGGCGUCUUUGUAUGUCCCCGUGUGCAUUAGUGCUGGUUGGGACCAGGAGGAGAGGUGGGCGCAGGUGAGCACUCAGCCCCUGCCCUCUGCUGGCCUCGGCGGGCGGGGAGAAGACGGCGCUCUCGGGGUGUCGUCAGCCCGCUGGAAACCGCUGGAAACCGCGUCUCUGGCUGCUCAGAGAGGGGGACCUGAGGCGUUGAGUUCUCUUCUCAGACUGUUUCCUGUGGCCCCGCGUUGAUGCCGCGAAGGGACCCAGAGACACUGAGCCUGGCGGCACCGAGUUGCUUUCCUCGCCUACCGGGCUGCGCCUGUGAAGGGCCAGUGCUGACUCGUGCCCACUUUUGGCUCCAGGGCCUGGUGUGUUGGCAGCUCGGGACCUGGUCCCUGCGUCAGGCGAGGGACCCUCCCGUUGCCCUCCCCGCGAGCGGGCUGCCUGCCAGUGGGUCUCCGCCUGGAGUGGUCUCACCUUCCAGGGACGCUGGGCAGGGCCUGGAGGUGCGGUGGGGCGUUGCUGCUGGCCCCUGGUGGGUGGGGGCCAGGGAUGCCCUCGGCAUCCUGCAGCGCGGGUGCGGAAGGGUGCUGGUUGGUCUGCGUCUCCUCGCGGGAGGGCCGGAGCGGGAGCCGCUCGUGUGCGCGGGCCGGGCGGGCUUCCGUAGUGCAUCCUCGGCCCGCUCUUGGCCCAGUGGUCUAGCUUCUCGUGACUGGGGUGAGUUCUUUCUACUUCAACGGUGUUAAAUCCCAGGUAUUAAGAUGAUAGAACUUGUUCUUAAGGAGACAGCUAAGAGCAGAGAGAGGAACUGGGAGGUGCUAGAACCCAGUCGGGGGGCUGUCUCACCGCCCCUCCCGGCUAGCUGUGCUUCCCUUGGGCGUGCGUUCUGCUGGCAGAUGAGGGGACGGUGGGUGCGGCUGUGCUGGGAACCCGACCAGGGAACCCAGACGGGUCAGGGCUGUCUGUGCACCAGGAGGCCCGAGGGAGCGGUGGGACAGCGAGUUGCAUGUGCGUGUGUCUGGGCCAAGAGAGCCCUGGGACCUGUGUGUGCGCCUCUGGGCUGCGGCCUGGGCAGGGCCGUAGGGACAGACCAGAGCUUGUGCACCCUGCCCUUUUCCUUCCUGGCUGCGUGUGAGCCCACACACGUGCGCACACACACACAAGCAUGGGGGCUGCGCGCGCCAUUUAGUUGAUUCUGUCGGGAAAGAAAUUCCAUCCGUGCUGCCAUCACGACGUGUUCAGGAGGCCCUUGCUGGUCGGGGCCGCGUGUGGUUCCGAGGCCGUGGAGGAGAUGGCAGGCGGGGGGCGCAGGGGUGACGCGGAGAGCCUGGACCGGUGUCGUCCUCCAGGGAGCCCAGGCGAGCUUGGGACGCCCCCGGGCCCCUCUUGGGAGCUCCGCACGGCAGGAGGUCAGGGCUGAGCCGUCCCGAGUGAGUGAGCAGCCGCAGCCUGGCCUCCGCCAACCCUGCAGAACACUCACCCUCACCGCUCUCUUCCCGUCCCACUGCCCUUGUUCUCCCUUAGCUGUUGAAGGUGAUGAAUGAACGGAAAAAGAGUCAGAAGAAGAAAAUCCAGGCCUUGGAUCCCCCCCUGGGCUGCCCUGCCUUUCACUGCUCCCCGGAGGGCUGGCGUCCCCUCAGAGGAACUUCUUGCUGAGCGUGUGGGGCGGGUCAUGCUUGGUGACUUUCCUUCCGUGUCCCGGGUGAGCUGCGUGGCAUCCGGGGCCGGAGGGGCUUCAGCGGGUGGGCAGGGCUGAGCCUACCCAUCUUCCUGAGAAUCACCGACACGGGGUGUGCCCCGGGGACCGCUGGGGCCACGGCUUUUUCGCAGGACAGGGCUCGCUCCCUGCCACGAGAGGAGUGCUUUCUGUUGGCCGAGGGUCCUGUGCCCUGCUCGCCCGACGAAACGUGGGGCAGGUGCUUCCCUUUUGGGGUGUUCAUCUUCUCUCCCAGACCCACAGGUAGCCUCGCUCCCUCGGCACGGGAGCAGGCAGGCAGGCACCAGGCACCCCGAGCCAGCCUGUGGGCAGCUGGCCGUGGGGCAUCAGCCCUGCAGGGUCCGGUCCCAGGAGGGGGCGCCGGCGAGGAGGGCUGAACGCCCGCUCCGCGUGCCAUCUGCAGUACAUUCUCGUGUUCCUGCUGGAAGGCUUCCUACCUUUUUGGCUGAAGAAGUGCUGGGCUCAGCUGAGUUCUGCCAAGAGCUGCCGGCAUUUAUAAUUCAUGUAAAAAUAAAUGUGUCCUCUUGUCGUGA
Balaenoptera musculus (blue whale) is the source of this 2377-nucleotide long non-coding RNA. RefSeq lists it as uncharacterized. The transcript is spliced from 2 exons. The record is from RefSeq and is a predicted model, not a curated record. Lineage: Eukaryota; Metazoa; Chordata; Mammalia; Artiodactyla; Balaenopteridae.